UACGUAGGGUGCGAGCGUUAAUCGGAAUUACUGGGCGUAAAGUGUGCGCAGGCGGCGUUGCAAGUCGAGUGUGAAAUCCCCGAGCUUAACUUGGGAAUUGCGCUCGAAACUACGAUGCUCGAGUGUGGCAGAGGAAGGUGGAAUUCCACGUGUAGCGGUGAAAUUCGUAGAUAUUGGGAAGAACACCGGUGGCGAAGGCGGCAUCCUGGACCGGCAUUGACGCUGAGGCGCGAAAGCCAGGGGAGCAAACGGG
RNAcentral lists this ribosomal RNA (253 nucleotides) under uncultured bacterium. Its description in RNAcentral is "partial 16S ribosomal RNA". It matches the Rfam family "Bacterial small subunit ribosomal RNA", at positions 524 to 776 of the family's 1533-position model. The record is from RNAcentral.